AUGAACGCUGGCGGCGUGCCUAAUACAUGCAAGUCGAGCGAACGGACGAGAAGCUUGCUUCUCUGAUGUUAGCGGCGGACGGGUUAGUAACACGUGGAUAACCUACCUAUAAGACUGUGAUAACUUCGGGAAACCGGAGCUAAUACCGGAUAAUAUUUUGAACCGCAUGGUUCAAAAGUGAAAGACGGUCUUGCUGUCACUUAUAGAUGUAUCCGCGCUGCAUUAGCUAGUUGGUAAGGUAACGGCUUACCAAGGCAACGAUGCAUAGCCGACCUGAGAGGGUGAUCGGCCACACUGGAACUGAGACACGGUCCAGACUCCUACGGGAGGCAGCAGUAGGGAAUCUUCCGCAAUGGGCGAAAGCCUGACGGAGCAACGCCGCGUGAGUGAUGAAGGUCUUCGGAUCGUAAAACUCUGUUAUUAGGGAAGAACAUAUGUGUAAGUAACUGUGCACAUCUUGACGGUACCUAAUCAGAAAGCCACGGCUAAAUACGUG
RNAcentral lists this ribosomal RNA (496 nucleotides) under uncultured bacterium. RNAcentral's name for it is "partial 16S ribosomal RNA". It matches the Rfam family "Bacterial small subunit ribosomal RNA", at positions 29 to 507 of the family's 1533-position model. The record is from RNAcentral.